AAACGAUGUCUACUAGUUGUCGGGUUUUAACUAACUUGGUAACGCAGCUAACGCGUGAAGUAGACCGCCUGGGGAGUACGGUCGCAAGAUUAAAACUCAAAGGAAUUGACGGGGACCCGCACAAGCGGUGGAUGAUGUGGAUUAAUUCGAUGCAACGCGAAAAACCUUACCUACCCUUGACAUGUACGGAAGGCCGAAGAGAUUUGGCUGUGCUCGAAAGAGAACCGUAACACAGGUGCUGCAUGGCUGUCGUCAGCUCGUGUCGUGGGAUGUUGGGUUAAGUCCCGCAACGAGCGCAACCCUUGUCAUUAGUUGCUACGAAAGGGCACUCUAAUGAGACUGCCGGUGACAAACCGGAGGAAGGUGGGGAUGACGUCAAGUCCUCAUGGCCCUUAUGGGUAGGGCUUCACACGUCAUACAAUGGUACAUACAGAGCGCCGCCAACCCGCGAGGGGGAGCUAAUCGCAGAAAGUGUAUCGUAGUCCGGAUUGUAGUCUGCAACUCGACUGCAUGAAGUUGGAAUCGCUAGUAAUCGCGGAUCAGCAUGUCGCGGUGAAUACGUUCCCGGGUCUUGUACACACCGCCCGUCACACCAUGGGAGCGGGUUUUACCAGAAGUAGGUAGCUUAACCGCAAGGAGGGCGCUUACCACGGUAGGAUUCGUGACUGGGGUGAAGUCGUAACAAGGUAACCGUAAAU
Molecule: ribosomal RNA, 698 nt
Filed under: uncultured endophytic bacterium
Lineage: Bacteria
Description: bacterial SSU rRNA
Rfam family: Bacterial small subunit ribosomal RNA
Source: RNAcentral